AUGAGAGGGUCAAUACAAGAGCUCUCUUACAAAGAAAAUUUUUUCUUCCUGGAAGAUUAUACUUGUACACUAUGCAAUCGACAUGUUAUUGAAACAAGAGAUCAUCUAUUCUUUCACUGUCCAUUUGCACAACUUUGCUAGUCUUAUCUAUGCUCUUCUUGGGUCCCUACUUUCCUGGGUCUUCAAUCAGAAGUUGAUCAAUUAAACCAGCUACUGAAUGUGCCUUUUGCAUUUGAAAUUAUCAUUUUGGCAUCUUGGGAAAUCUGCACCACAAGGAACGAUUCUAUAUUCAAGCACAUACCCCCGAGCCUAUAUGUUUGCAGGAAAAAAAUUCAAAGAAGUGCUUAA
This 348-nucleotide ribosomal RNA is filed under the name Triticum aestivum (bread wheat). RNAcentral describes it as "partial small subunit ribosomal RNA". Lineage: Eukaryota; Viridiplantae; Streptophyta; Magnoliopsida; Poales; Poaceae. The record is from RNAcentral.